ACGCGAAGAACCUUACCUAGCCUUGACAUUGAUAGAAUCCUUUAGAGAUAGAGGAGUGCCAGUUUACUGGAGCUUGAAAACAGGUGUUGCACGGCUGUCGUCAGCUCGUGUCGUGAGAUGUUGGGUUAAGUCCCGCAACGAGCGCAACCCUCGUCCUUAGUUACUAACGGUUCGGCCGAGGACUCUAAGGAGACUGCCUUCGUAAGGAGGAGGAAGGUGAGGACGACGUCAAGUCAUCAUGACCCUUACGGCUAGGGCGACACACGUGCUACAAUGGAUAGGACAAUGAGACGCAAUACCGCGAGGUGGAGCAAAUCUAUAAACCUAUUCUCAGUUCGGAUUGUAGUCUGCAACUCGACUACAUGAAGCUGGAAUCACUAGUAAUCGUAGAUCAGCCAUGCUACGGUGAAUACGUUCCCGGGUCUUGUACACACCGA
Molecule: ribosomal RNA, 437 nt
Filed under: uncultured bacterium
Lineage: Bacteria
Description: bacterial SSU rRNA
Rfam family: Bacterial small subunit ribosomal RNA
Source: RNAcentral